GGGGGCUUCUACGUCCUUAGGUCAUUUUUAAUUUACUUUUUAAUUAUUAUUGUUAUUAUUUUUAUUUUCAGCGUUGCGCCGUAUUUCUUGUAAAACACGGCCAUUCGGGAAAAUUCAAUUGGCCAAUUUCCAUUUCUCGUGCAUCACUUUCACGGCAGAGGCUGUUCCCAGGACAAGUAUCGGCCCCAAAGCCCAAAGAGAAAUGAGGUGUCCGGUGUGGAAGUGCAUCUCAGUCAACAGCCAGCUCCUUUGGCCGGGGCUGGAAAUGGUUUUAACAGGCGGUAAAAUUUCAUCUUGUGGUGUCAAAUUGGGGUCAGUUUGGGGUUAGCGCUCUCAGUGUCCGAGAAGGAGCUGUCCAGCUGUGUGGGGAUUCAUUAAGGGCAAAAGAUCCGUUUCAAGAAAAACAAUACAAAGACAAUCAGAGAGCUAAAGAUCCUCUUCAAAUCGCAUUUUACAAGUGCACCAGAACAAAUAUGGACGCUGAAACCUAUUCCCUUCAAACUCCCAAAUCGGCUUCUUAGCCCUCGGAGGGAGGGAAAAUCCGCUGCAGCCCGGCCGGGUCUGCUUCCAAUCACCGCCCCGAGGUGCGCCGGGCCCCGCGCCGCCCUCGCCCGCUCCCCUCUCCCCUUCGGCGCAGCGCUGCGGAGCGAUGGCACCACAACAGGUAACAUCCCGGAAUGCGUCCCCCGGUGUGUCUGAGCCACUGCUGUGCGUGUGCCCGUGGGCGUGCAGCGGGAGCUUCCAUGCGAAUAGAAAGUUUGUUUUCGAGGGGACAGACCGUGCUUGUAUGAAACCCGCUCUCAUCCUUCGCAAAUGUCCCGCAGCCCUCUCAAGCAGCGCUGUGCUCCGAUAGAUAACGUGGAGUGGAUGUGCUGUGCGGUUCCCAGCAUCUGUGGGAAGCACCUAUUGCUAAUCUGGUUUAUUAAAUUCGCGUGGUUUAAAUCCUCUUAGCGCCCCUACAUCUGUUAGAACAAUUGACGCCUUGCUGCAGGGACAAAUAACUCCGGCCAUAAUCUCGUUUGUAACUUUAUUCAGUGUUUGUUUGUUUGUGCGCGGAGUUCGAGUAUUUGGGGGCGAUGCCAUUGUAUUCGGGAAUAUACCGUACAGCCAGAGCCGGAAUGGAUGGGCUGAGGGCAGAGCAGAGCGGAAUGAGUAAUUCCGAAUAUUGGAAGUGGCAUUUUAUCCCGAACCACCGUUCUAGGAGACGUGUCAGAGUUAAUGAAGAAAGCAAUCCACGUGUUAAUGCGUCUCCGGGCUUACAGCGUAACCGGGAUCCUGUGCAAAAUCCACGGGAUUUGUUCUUUCUGAUUCUCUCCCAAGACAACGCGUGGGGUGCAGAUAGUACCUCUGCGGUUUUGGAGUCAGGAUUAUUCC
This 1374-nucleotide long non-coding RNA is filed under the name Gallus gallus (chicken). The record is from RNAcentral. Lineage: Eukaryota; Metazoa; Chordata; Aves; Galliformes; Phasianidae.